AACGAACGCUGGCGGCAUGCCUAACACAUGCAAGUCGAACGAGACCUUCGGGUCUAGUGGCGCACGGGUGCGUAACGCGUGGGAACCUGCCCUUAGGUUCGGUAUAACUCCCCGAAAGGGGUGCUAAUACCGGAUAAUGUCUUCGGACCAAAGAUUUAUCGCCUUUGGAUGGGCCCGCGUUUGAUUAGCUUGUUGGUAGGGUAAAAGCCUACCAAGGCGAGGAUCCAUAGCUGGUCUGAGAGGAUGAUAAGCCACACUGGGACUGAGACACGGCCCAGACGCCUACGGGAGGGAGCAGAGGGGAAUAUUGGAAAAUGGGGGAAAGCCUGAUCAAGCAAUGCCGCGUGAGUGAGGAAGGGCGUAGGGUUGUAAAGCUCUUUUAAACGGGAUGAUAAUGACAGUACCGGGAGAAUAAGCACCGGCUAACUCCGUG
Molecule: ribosomal RNA, 433 nt
Filed under: uncultured bacterium
Lineage: Bacteria
Description: partial 16S ribosomal RNA
Rfam family: Bacterial small subunit ribosomal RNA
Source: RNAcentral